GUAAAGCGAGCGCAGGCGGAAUGAUAAGUCUGAUGUGAAAGCCCACGGCUCAACCGUGGAACUGCAUCGGAAACUGUCAUUCUUGAGUGCAGAAGAGGAGAGUGGAACUCCAUGUGUAGCGGUGGAAUGCGUAGAUAUAUGGAAGAACACCAGUGGCGAAGGCGGCUCUCUGGUCUGCAACUGACGCUGAGGCUCGAAAGCAUGGGUAGCGAACAGGAUUAGAUACCCUGGUAGUCCAUGCCGUAAACGAUGAGCGCUAGGUGUUGGGGACUUUCCGGUCCUCAGUGCCGCAGCAAACGCAUUAAGCGCUCCGCCUGGGGAGUACGACCGCAAGGUUGAAACUCAAAGGAAUUGACGGGGGCCCGCACAAGCGGUGGAGCAUGUGGUUUAAUUCGAAGCAACGCGAAGAACCUUACCAGGUCUUGACAUCCUGAGACCGUUAUAGAGAUAUAAUUUUCCCUUCGGGGACUCAGAGACAGGUGGUGCAUGGCUGUCGUCAGCUCGUGUCGUGAGAUGUUGGGUUAAGUCCCGCAACGAGCGCAACCCUUGUCUUUAGUUGCCAGCAUUAAGUUGGGCACUCUAGAGAGACUGCCGGUGACAAACCGGAGGAAGGUGGGGAUGACGUCAAGUCAUCAUGCCCCUUAUGACCUGGGCUACACACGUGCUACAAUGGGCAGUACAACGAGAAGCGAACCUGCGAAGGCAAGCGGAUCUCUUAAAGCUGUUCUCAGUUCGGACUGCAGGCUGCAACUCGCCUGCACGAAGCUGGAAUCGCUA
Molecule: ribosomal RNA, 777 nt
Filed under: uncultured Bacillota bacterium
Lineage: Bacteria; Bacillati; Bacillota
Description: bacterial SSU rRNA
Rfam family: Bacterial small subunit ribosomal RNA
Source: RNAcentral